This 285-nucleotide ribosomal RNA is filed under the name uncultured bacterium. RNAcentral describes it as "partial 16S ribosomal RNA". It matches the Rfam family "Bacterial small subunit ribosomal RNA", at positions 335 to 637 of the family's 1533-position model. The record is from RNAcentral.
UACCUACGGGGCGCAACAGUGGGGAAUAUUGCACAAUGGGGGAAACCCUGAUGCAGCGACGCCGCGUGAGUGAAGAAGUAUUUCGGUAUGUAAAGCUCUACCAGCAGGGAAGAAAAAAGACGGUACCUGACUAAGAAGCCCCGGCUAACUACGUGCCAGCAGCCGCGGUAAUACGUAGGGGGCAAGCGUUAUCCGGAUUUACUGGGUGUAAAGGGAGCGUAGACGGUAUGGCAAGUCUGAAGUGAAAGCCCAGGGCUUAACCCUGGGACUGCUUUGGAAACUGUU